GUGAGGAAUAUUGGACAAUGGGCGCAAGCCUGAUCCAGCCAUGCCGCGUGCAGGAAGACGCAUCUAUGGUGUGUAAACUGCUUUUGUACGGGAAGAAACACUCCCUCGUGAGGGAGCUUGACGGUACCGUAAGAAUAAGGAUCGGCUAACUCCGUGCCAGCAGCCGCGGUAAUACGGAGGAUCCAAGCGUUAUCCGGAAUCAUUGGGUUUAAAGGGUCCGUAGGCGGUUUAAUAAGUCAGUGGUGAAAGCCCAUCGCUCAACGAUGGAACGGCCAUUGAUACUGUUAGACUUGAAUUACAAGGAAGUAACUAGAAUAUGUAGUGUAGCGGUGAAAUGCUUAGAUAUUACAUGGAAUACCAAUUGCGAAGGCAGGUUACUACUUGUUGAUUGACGCUGAUAGACGAAAGCGUGGGGAGCGAACAGGAUUAGAAACCCCUGUAGUCC
RNAcentral lists this ribosomal RNA (445 nucleotides) under uncultured bacterium. RNAcentral describes it as "partial 16S ribosomal RNA". It matches the Rfam family "Bacterial small subunit ribosomal RNA", at positions 354 to 796 of the family's 1533-position model. The record is from RNAcentral.